GGUUAAGCGAAUAAGCGUACACGGUGGAUGCCUAGGCAGUCAGAGGCGAUGAAGGACGUGCUAAUCUGCGAUAAGCGCCGGUAAGGUGAUAUGAACCGUUAUAACCGGCGAUUUCCGAAUGGGGAAACCCAGUGUGAUUCGUCACACUAUCAUUACCUGAAUACAUAGGGUAAUGAAGCGAACCGGGAGAACUGAAACAUCUAAGUACCCCGAGGAAAAGAAAUCAAACGAGAUUCCCCCAGUAGCGGCGAGCGAACGGGGAGCAGCCCAGGACCUUAAUCAG
Molecule: ribosomal RNA, 283 nt
Filed under: Morganella morganii subsp. morganii
Lineage: Bacteria; Pseudomonadati; Pseudomonadota; Gammaproteobacteria; Enterobacterales; Morganellaceae
Description: partial 23S ribosomal RNA
Rfam family: Bacterial large subunit ribosomal RNA
Source: RNAcentral